This 1447-nucleotide ribosomal RNA is filed under the name Salmonella enterica subsp. enterica serovar Senftenberg. RNAcentral's name for it is "partial 23S ribosomal RNA". It matches the Rfam family "Bacterial large subunit ribosomal RNA", at positions 121 to 1567 of the family's 2925-position model. The record is from RNAcentral. Lineage: Bacteria; Pseudomonadati; Pseudomonadota; Gammaproteobacteria; Enterobacterales; Enterobacteriaceae.
GGGGAACCCAGCACGAGUUAUGUCGUGUUAUCGACAAGUGAAUUCAUAGCUUGUCAGAAGGCAGACCCGGAGAACUGAAACAUCUUAGUACCCGGAGGAAGAGAAAGAAAAAUCGAUUCCCUGAGUAGCGGCGAGCGAAACGGGAAGAGCCCAAACCAAUAAGCUUGCUUAUUGGGGUUGUAGGACACUCUAUGCGGAGUUACAAAGGAAUAUGUUAGACGAAUCAUCUGGAAAGUUGAAUCAAAGAAGGUAAUAAUCCUGUAGUUGAAAAUAUAUUCUCUCUUGAGUGGAUCCUGAGUACGACGGAGCACGUGAAAUUCCGUCGGAAUCUGGGAGGACCAUCUCCUAAGGCUAAAUACUCUCUAGUGACCGAUAGUGAACCAGUACCGUGAGGGAAAGGUGAAAAGUACCCCGGAAGGGGAGUGAAAGAGAACUUGAAACCGUGUGCUUACAAGUAGUCAGAGCCCGUUAAUGGGUGAUGGCGUGCCUUUUGUAGAAUGAACCGGCGAGUUACGAUCUGAUGCAAGGUUAAGCAGGAAAUGUGGAGCCGUAGCGAAAGCGAGUCUGAAUAGGGCGUUGAGUAUUUGGUCGUAGACCCGAAACCAGGUGAUCUACCCAUGGUCAGGUUGAAGUUCAGGUAACACUGAAUGGAGGACCGAACCGACUUACGUUGAAAAGUGAGCGGAUGAACUGUGGGUAGCGGAGAAAUUCCAAUCGAACUUGGAGAUAGCUGGUUCUCUCCGAAAUAGCUUUAGGGCUAGCCUCAAGUGAUGAUUAUUGGAGGUAGAGCACUGUUUGGACGAGGGGCCCCUCUCGGGUUACCGAAUUCAGACAAACUCCGAAUGCCAAUUAAUUUAACUUGGGAGUCAGAACAUGGGUGAUAAGGUCCGUGUUCGAAAGGGAAACAGCCCAGACCACCAGCUAAGGUCCCAAAAUAUAUGUUAAGUGGAAAAGGAUGUGGCGUUGCCCAGACAACUAGGAUGUUGGCUUAGAAGCAGCCAUCAUUUAAAGAGUGCGUAAUAGCUCACUAGUCGAGUGACACUGCGCCGAAAAUGUACCGGGGCUAAACAUAUUACCGAAGCUGUGGAUUGUCCGUAGGACAAUGGUAGGAGAGCGUUCUAAGGGCGUUGAAGCAUGAUCGCAAGGACAUGUGGAGCGCUUAGAAGUGAGAAUGCCGGUGUGAGUAGCGAAAGACGGGUGAGAAUCCCGUCCACCGAUUGACUAAGGUUUCCAGAGGAAGGCUCGUCCGCUCUGGGUUAGUCGGGUCCUAAGCUGAGGCCGACAGGCGUAGGCGAUGGAUAACAGGUUGAUAUUCCUGUACCACCUAGCAUCGUUUUAAUCGAUGGGGGGACGCAGUAGGAUAGGCGAAGCGUACGAUUGGAUUGUACGUCUAAGCAGUGAGAUUGAGUGUUAGGCAAAUCCGGCACUCUUAAGAUUGAGCUGUGAU